This 496-nucleotide ribosomal RNA is filed under the name uncultured bacterium. RNAcentral describes it as "partial 16S ribosomal RNA". It matches the Rfam family "Bacterial small subunit ribosomal RNA", at positions 29 to 523 of the family's 1533-position model. The record is from RNAcentral.
AUUGAACGCUGGCGGCAUGCCUAACAUAUGCAAGUCGCACGCGAAAGGGGGCAACCCUGAGUAGAGUGGCGGACGGGUGAGUAACGCGUAGGAAUCUACCUGGUAGUGGGGGACAACCCGGUGAAAACCGGGCUAAUACCGCAUACGAUCCACGGAUGAAAGCAGGGGACCGCAAGGCCUUGCGCUAUCAGAUGAGCCUGCGUCGGAUUAGCUAGUUGGUGGGGUAAAGGCCCACCAAGACGACGAUCCGUAGCUGGUUUGAGAGAACGACCAGCCACACUGGGACUGAGACACGGCCCAGACUCCUACGGGAGGCAGCAGUGGGGAAUAUUGGACAAUGGGGGCAACCCUGAUCCAGCAAUGCCGCGUGUGUGAAGAAGGCCUUCGGGUUGUAAAGCACUUUCGGUGGGGACAAACAAGGUGGAGCUAACAUCUCCGCCUCGGAUGGUACCCAAAGAAGAAGCACCGGCUAACUCUGUGCCAGCCGCCGCAGUAA